Molecule: ribosomal RNA, 2681 nt
Filed under: Halorubrum sp. C191
Lineage: Archaea; Methanobacteriati; Methanobacteriota; Halobacteria; Halobacteriales; Haloferacaceae
Description: bacterial LSU rRNA
Rfam family: Archaeal large subunit ribosomal RNA
Source: RNAcentral
GCUACUGUGCCAGCUGGUGAAUGGCUCGGCUCGAGAGCCGACGACGGACGUGCCAAGCUGCGAAAAGCUCGUGGGACCCGCAUGGAGGGAAAGAACACGAGAUCUCCCAAUCGGAAUCCGUUCAACAAUUGCCACGCGCAAUAGGGAACGCCCUGAAUUGAAACAUCUCAGUAAGGGCAGGAAAAGAACGCAACAGCGAUGUCGUCAGUAACCGCGAGUAAACGCGACACAGCCCAAACCGAAGGUCUUCGGACCAAUGUGGUGUUCGGGUUGACAACCAAAUCUCGACACUCUCUCAGAAGUCUCCUGGAACGGAGCGUGAAACAGGGUGACAACCCCGUAUGAGAGAGCAGUACGGAUGGCGUCAAAUCCAGAGUAGUAGGGGUCGGAUAUCCUCUAUGAACANNUGGCGAUCGAGCGACAGGGCGUACAAGGCGUCUCUUGAAACGACCGAGGAGCGAUCCUCUAGUAGGAAGAGAGACGAGCCGGCGUCGUGUCGUGCGUUUUGAAAAACGACCCAGGGAGUGCACUUGAUUGGCGAGUCUAACCGGCGAACCCGGGAAGGCGCAGGGAAACCGAUACGGCCGCAGCAUUGCGAGGGCCACCGUGUUCAAGCGCGGGGAGUCAAUCAGGUGCGACCCGAAACCAGGCGAUCUACGCGCGAGCAAGGUGAAGCGUGGCGAAAGCCACGUGGAGGCCUGUUAGAGUUGGUGUUCUACAAUACCCUCUCGUGACUCGUGUGUAGGGGUGAAAGGCCCAUCGAGCCUGGCAACAGCUGGUUCCAACCGAAACAUGUCGAAGCAUGACCUCNNGGGAGUCCGGUGCGCGGGGUAAGCCUGUGUACCGUGAGGGGAACAACCCAGAGCCGGGUUAAGGUCCCAAAGUGUAGAUUAAGUGCGAUUCGAAGGUGGUCUCAAGCCCUAAACAGCCGGGAGGUGAGCUUAGAAGCAGCUACCCGCUAAGAAAAGCGUAACAGCUUACCGGCCGAGGUUUGAGGCGCCCAAAAUGAUCGGGGCUCAAAUCUACCACCGAGACCUGGCCGUGCCCUUGACAGGGGCAACCGCGUAGGUUGGCGUACUGGUCGGACGGAAGCCCGGGCGAGAGCUCGUGUGGACCGUCCAGUAACGACAAUCCUGGUCACAGUAGCAGCGAUAGUCGGGUGAGAACCUCGACGGCCUGAAGAGCAAGGGUUCCUCGGCACUGCCGUUCAGCCGAGGGUUAGCCGGUCCUAAGGUGUACCACAACUUGACUACACCGACGGGAAGCUGGUUAAUAUUCCAGCGCCAUCGUGCAGUAAACGCCGACGCCGUGUGGAACGCUGAGCCGGGCACUCGCCCGGUCGAAUCGUGGAAACUCGUGGACGCCGUCACGGCACGAAGCGAGCGAAACGCGAAACAGCGAAAGUCAGCCGUACAUAGGGCCCGUGAAAAGGCAAGCACGAUGUCCGUACCGAGAUCCGACACAGGUGCUCUGCCAGCGCAAGGCAAGGCCUGUCGGGAGAACCGACGUUAGGGAAUUCGGCAAGUUAGUCCCGUACCUUCGGAAGAAGGGAUGCCUGCUCUCUAAGGAGCAGGUCGCAGUGACUCGGGCGCUCCGACUGUCUAGUAACAACACAGGUGACCGCAAAUCCGCAAGGACUCGUACGGUCACUGAAUCCUGCCCAGUGCGGGUAUCUGAACACCUCGUACAAGAGGACGAAGGACCCGUCAACGGCGGGGGUAACUAUGACCCUCUUAAGGUAGCGUAGUACCUUGCCGCUUCAGUAGCGGCUUGCAUGAAUGGAUAAACGAGAGCGCCACUGUCCCAACGUUGGACCCGGUGAACUGUACGUUCCAGUGCGGAGUCUGGAGACCCCCAAGGGGAAGCGAAGACCCUAUAGAGCUUUACUGCAGGCUGUCGCUGAGACGUGGUCGCCGAUGUGCAGCAUAGGUAGGAGUCGUUACAGAGGUACGCGCGCCAGCGCGCCACCCAGACAGCAUUGAAAUACUACCCGUCGGUGACUGCGACUCUCACUCCGGGAGGAGUACACCGGUAGCCGGGCAGUUUGACUGGGGCGGUACGCGCUCGAAAAGAUAUCGAGCGCGCCCGAAGAUCAUCUCAGCCGGGUCGGGAAUCCGGCGAAGAGCGCAAGAGCACAAGAUGGUCUGACAGUGUUCUUCCCAACGAGGAACGCUGACGCGAAAGCGUGGUCUAGCGAACCUACGAGGUUCCGGAAUGGGACCCGUAGAUGACAGAAAAGCUACCUUAGGGAUAACAGAGUCGUCACUCGCAAGAGCACAUAUCGACCGAGUGGCUUGCUACCUCGAUGUCGGUUCCCUCCAUCCUGCCCGUGCAGAAGCGGGCAAGGGUGAGGUUGUUCGCCUAUUAAAGGAGGUCGUGAGCUGGGUUUAGACCGUCGUGAGACAGGUCGGCUGCUAUCUAUUGGGGGUGUGAGGUACCUGACGUGAACGAACGUAUAGUACGAGAGGAACUACGUUUGGUCGCCACUGGUGUAUCGGUUGUCCGGAAGGGCAGAUGCCGAGUAGCCACGCGACACGGGGUAAGAGCUGAACGCAUCUAAGCUCGAAACCCACAUGGAAAAGAGGUACCACAGAGGUCACUCGUAGAAGACGAGUUCGAUAGACUCGGGGUGUACGCACCGAGGCAACGAGGUGUUAAGCCCACGAGAACUAACAGACCGA